Molecule: long non-coding RNA, 2538 nt
Organism: Triticum aestivum (bread wheat)
Lineage: Eukaryota; Viridiplantae; Streptophyta; Magnoliopsida; Poales; Poaceae
Exons: 3
Source: RefSeq, a predicted model, not a curated record
CCAAAACGUUACUUUUUUCCAUGAGCCGUGGAACAGGAGUUAGGUAGUAGCAAACCCUUACCACGGUGGUUCUAGAAACCAGACGCCGCCGCGGGCAACUAUCCCCCACCCCCACUGCUGUGGAAGGCUGCGCUGGCUCCGGCUAACCGGCGAUGGAAGAUCCUGCUGGACUCUGUCGACAUGUUCCCACUACGAUGCGGACAGCUUGGACCACCCGGAUCCGGUUCCUCUGGCGGAUCUCCAGCGGAUUGCCGACACGAGCGCUGACCCGGUUCCCGUUCCUGGUGCGGCGAGCGUGUUGGCGGCGCAAGACAGGGCAGGUAGGAAGCCGACAGCCGCCGCCGGUGGGAGGCUUCUCCGAGGCAGGGCAGGUAGGAAGGUGAAUCCAGAGGCGCCUGGAUGGACAAACAGGUGCGGCCUGAAGCUAGCCAUUGCAGGGCACCUGCUAUUUACUGUUUUGUUGAAUGCUACUCUGUUUGACGUACGCCGCCUUGAAAUUCGCUGCCAUACUUUCUGUAAGUUCGACUAGCUGAAUGAACGGGAUGAAGAUGAUCGUUCAUAUGGCUUGUGUAGGAUGCGAACAGGUAGAUCUUGGUAAGAUAGCUUAUGCUCCCACACCGUAAUUUGUCACAUAAUGCAGAAUUUAGAAACGGACAUAUAGAUGCUGCUUAAAAUUAUUGGAAAGUGGCGAGUGUAAGGAGUUGUGUUUGUGUAGUCAGCUAAAAGAUGAAGUCUGAACUCGAAGUGCACACGUUGAAACAAAGAAGACAAAAAACUGAUUGUGAGUAGUGUCACUCAGGAUUUUGUAUUUUCUGCCACACCAUUCAUACUGAAUUUGCCUUUCAUGUUUCUCACAGUGUGUUUCAAAUUUGUAUCUGCAAUUCUAUAUAGAUGGUUUGUGAGUACUGAAAGCAUUUGAAUAUUUUUCUUGAGAAAUGUUAGCAUGGCACCAUGCAAAGCGUGGUCCCAUCUGAUAUUCCACCACCAUUCCUGCUAGUCAGCAUUUCAUUUCCUCCCCCUGCGCCUCCACGUCCUCCUCUUAUCUUUCUAUGUAAGCAACUACAUCAACCAGAUCACUGAGAUCAGAUCAGAUGAGAUACACGCACUGGGUUUGGAUGUAGAUAGAUCCACGGUCCUGUCAGCUCUUCACCAAAUGCAUGCACUAAUGUACCAGUAGUAUUUGGUGGAAGUCAUGUACACUAUUACUUGUUUUCUGGUGAUGUACUACAAUAGCAUCCCCUUGCUGUGCGUAUAAACAACACUACUCCAGAAAUGGUUUUCCUUCUGCGAUGAUACGCAUCACACACGGAUGCAAGAUUAACCCGUACAUGUGAAGUGUCAACAGAGACACACAAAACUAAUACUAGAUAUUAACAUGUCUAGUUAUGGGAGUGUCGUGAUAUCGCCGUUCUUGUGCCUAUUUGUGCAUCCUGAUAUUUACUCCCUCUGUAAAGAAAUAUAAGAUCGUUUAGAUCACUAAUUUAUUUUUGGACAGAAAUGAUGUCUUAUCAGCAUAUACACCACUUUGAACAUCGAGUUAACCUCGUCACUUCAUAUCACUUGAUGGCAGAAUGAAAAAUGAUGCAUCCCAAGAAACAACACACAGGUUGCAUGGUGAAACUUAGCUUAUUGUGUGACAAUUUCCUGCUUCAAAUUAAUGGUGACAUGUAGUGUACAAAAUGAAAGAAUCAUAUGUGACAUAAGGUGCAUUACAUUCUAGUUAGUAGCGUAUAAGAUAAUUUUUGGAUUACUAACUGACAUAAGUAAUCAUUACAUUCUAGAUAUUAUGGGAUGGAGGGAGUACUUACUACCAAAAGAUGGAGAAUGGCGUUUGGGGAUAUGUAUGAAUCUUGUGUGUACCCCGCUUUCUCAGCUCGCUGAUGGAGACCAUGUUAGCUAAAUUUUUUUGUGAGACUACCUUGAAAAUUUCUUGACAAGCAUGUUUAAUUCUAGCUAGCCUAGUUUUUACCUACAAUUCACAAGAUACAGGACAAUUUGUGAGGUUGCAUUUACCAGCAACGAAGCUCACAUUGUAUACUUUUAUGUAUAUUUGUCAUCAUGUAUAUCACAAAUGAUAUAGGCAGACAUAUUUUAAUAUUUCAGAAGAGUGUGUCGAAAGAUCAAGUGGUGUUGACAAGCAAAUGGAAAUGUGCGAAGCCAUGCAUGGACCAGAAACAACAGGUGUAAUGCUAUGGAAGAGCAAGAGAAAUUGGAGAAGCAGGAGAAGAAACGAAGGCAGAAGGAGAUUAAUUGUCCAAAUUAGCACUGAAGCUGCAGCGGGACAAAUUAGCCCCAGUUCUCUCUUGUGGGUUUAAUUAUGAAUGGUACUGUUUACACUGGCAUGCUUAGUUAUGAAUGCUAUGUGAGCUAGACAUAUCACAAUUAAAGAUUUUCCUCUUAUUUUGCCAAGCUAACAACAUGGAUCCUGUGUGGUGUUGCACCAUCUUUUGUGUCCAGGUUGUAUGUUCUAGUUGGUAGAUUAUAAACUUUGUUGGAUUUUGCCUUAAGUAUUUGAAUCAUGGUACAACCAGUCAGCUA